GACGAACGCUGGCGGCGUGCUUAACACAUGCAAGUCGAACGGAAAGGCCCUGCUUGCAGGGUACUCGAGUGGCGAACGGGUGAGUAACACGUGGGUGAUCUGCCCUGCACUUCGGGAUAAGCCUGGGAAACUGGGACUAAUACCGGAUAGGAGCCAUUUUUAGUGUGAUGGUUGGAAAGUUUUUUCGGUGUAGGAUGAGCUCGCGGCCUAUCAGCUUGUUGGUGGGGUAAUGGCCUACCAAGGCGGCGACGGGUAGCCGGCCUGAGAGGGUGGACGGCCACAUUGGGACUGAGAUACGGCCCAGACUCCUACGGGAGGCAGCAGUGGGGAAUAUUGCACAAUGGGCGCAAGCCUGAUGCAGCGACGCCGCGUGGGGGAUGACGGCCUUCGGGUUGUAAACUCCUUUCGCUAGGGACGAAGCUUUUUGUGACGGUACCUAGAGAAGAAGCACCGGCUAACUACGUG
This 465-nucleotide ribosomal RNA is filed under the name uncultured bacterium. Its description in RNAcentral is "partial 16S ribosomal RNA". It matches the Rfam family "Bacterial small subunit ribosomal RNA", at positions 28 to 507 of the family's 1533-position model. The record is from RNAcentral.